AAAAUAGGAAGUACUAUAACAAAAGACUAGACAAACUCUUACACCACCUAAAAGACUCAAAACUACUAGACAAGACAAGAAAGCAAAAGAAAACAUGAAAACAGACUCAAAAUAUAAAACGCCUCUUCAGACAACCUCCCAAAUGCGAUGGUCUUGGAUACCAAUCAUGCUCGAGCUGUGGUAAAUGAAUCCAUACCUGAAUGAAAAAAAUAAGACCAAAAUGGAUCAGUGACUCAAGACACUAUGCAACACCACAACACCUCAUAUUGGACACAUGCAUGGCACGAUUGGGCAAUUAUUUUUGAAAAUUAACCUACGUGGCCUAAAGUGGCUAGAAGUGCAAACUCAACAAAGGUGAACUCAAAGAUAUGAAAAUACCUCCAUAAGGCUUAUAUGGAUUCAAACUCCCAAUAAUCAUGGCCCAAAAUUAAUUUUGCAGAAAUGACCCAUUUUGUAGAAACGACCGAUAUGGCCCGAAGUGGCUAAAGAUGCAAGCUCAAUAAGGAUGGAUCUUAAAGUAAUAUGACACCUAGUUUUGGACUCAAGAUCAUAAGACAUGCGUCACUGAACCACUUUUGCGAAAAUGACCCCAUUUUGCAAGAAUGGCUGAUGUGGCCAAAAGUGGCUAGUCCUGCAAGAUUUGGCUAAGACCCCGUGAAGCCAAGAACCUAAUACUCACUAGGAAGACCGGACCCUAUGUGGGUUUCCUACGUAUCCCUCCCCGAAAGACGAGAAUCAGGUUCGCGUAGUUCGUGAAUAUUAGAUAUGUGAUAGAAUUUAAAACAAAUGCACUCGAUUUGCAAAAACUAUAUUUUUUGUCUUUUUUUUAAAAAAAAAAUGAUGGAGAAUGUAAAAUGUUUUUGUAUUUUCUUUUUCUCUUUUUUUUGAAUUUUUGGAAAAUGAUGGGAAAGUUUAAAAUCUUUUUGGAUUUUUUAUUUUCUCUUUUUUUUUUGAAUUUUUGAAAAAUGAUGGGAAAGUGCAAAAUCUUUUUGGAUUUUUUAUUUUCAUUUCUUUUUGGUCUUUUCUUGAAAAAAUUGUGAAAGAAAAAUAUAACUGGGUCCUACUUGCUUCAUUUUUCACCCUUCUUUUCCAAACAUCAGUCUGCCAAAUGAUCUUUUUACCCUCAAAGAUGCAACAUGUAUCACAUAGGGAUGAUUGAAUGUCUUUUUGGGCCACAGGCCCAUUAUUGACAAAAUUUGGAUCAACUUCCUACAAAGGGACACAGUACCUGGGACCGAGCCCUACUAGGUCUGAAUGACAUUAUGCAAAUAAGCAUGACCUAAAGGCUGACCUACGGUUUGGGUUCACUAGACAAGGCAAUUCGGGCGGCACGUGGUCGAUGGUGGCUGCUCUAGCUGUCCGCCCACUCCACGCUCCCACGCCACCCCCUAAAGACACGGGUGACUCACAAAAAGGCCGUGUACGCUCAAACGUAUUCCGGAAGACUUGUUGCAGAAAGAAGACUCGGGGUUAUGCAAAUGAUGACAAUUUAUAAAGCAGUAACACAUAAAGGAAAUAUUGUAAACAAAUAAGCAACUAGCAAAUAAAACGACAUAAACAAAAUAAAAAUCAAAUAAAGCAAACAAAAUACAUAAAAACCUCAACCGAAUAUCCUAAAAAGCCAACAAGAUCAAGUACUAGCUCGAACCUGCAAUUCCCCAGCAGAGUCGCCAGAAAUGUCACACCCCUUUUUUACAAACCUCAAUAACCCUCUUAAAAAUAUUAAAAAGAUUUAGUAAAGCUCAAAAGGGUUUUUCAAUUCGAAAGUGACAAAAAUUCGUGUUAAAAAAGAUUAACUUAGAGUCGCCACCUGACAUUUGAUUUCGGUGUGUCAGGUCACCGUUUUUCUAAAAAUAAUUUUUUUUCCCUUUCAAAACACUUGAGACUCCAAAACUAAGCCUGCACUAGAGAUUUCGGUAAGGGGGUUCAUUUGACUUAGGGAGAAGGUGUUAGGCAUUCCCCAAGUCCAGUAAUUAGUACGGUUGCAUACUUGAUCUAGUCGGCUUUUAAAAUAUUCAAGUUGAGGUAGAAUUAUGGAAAAGUAAAAUAAACACACAAGAGGCUCGAGGUCGUCCCCACCUAAAUAAAAGAAAAUUAAAAGAAGGAAAAUGAAAGUUCUAAGUUAUCCUAUGCUACUUCUUCUACGAUGUUCGCCAUGUCUUCUAAUUACAGAAUACUACGGGGCAUUCCCCGGAAUAAAUAUGUACAAUUCCUUCGGGACAUUCCCCGGAUAAAUUUAACUAAGGGAACGACCUAUCGCCUCAAAACUAAUAAAAAUCUUAAGGCUUGCCUACCCAAGUGUGGUCGGCCUAAGCAUGCUCCUAUCGACCCCAAAUAGAUAAAAUAGAAAUCAAAGUUAGAGAAUUAUCUAAAACCCAACAACUCAAAGUUCUGUCCAAAACCCCACGCUUGAGACUUGGCAGAAUAUCCAAACAAUCAAAUAAUCUAAUUAACUUAGUUAACCUAAAUCUUUUGUUGUCAAAAUGUUAAUCCAAGCAAUCAUCAAAGCAAAGCAAUGACAUACACGAAAUAAAAUGGCAUGAUAUGCUAUGAAGCAAAAUAGUAGCAGAAGGUUAGAAGUAGACCUUAACUAUCUCAAAACUUUGGUUGAAAAAACGAACCUCGAUCGAGAAAUAAAAUCAGCAAAUAGGAACCGCACCAUGACCUUGAACCGAACCUCGGGCUCUAACCUCGAACCGUGAUCGCGAAACAAACUCGACUCAAUCAAACGAACUCCAUUAGAGAUGACGAAGCAAAAAGGGUCGUUUGGUGGUCGAAUAAGCAGCAGCUGGCAGUGGUUUUAGGUGUUAGGUUGCUGAUGUUCUGGGUUGAAGAAGAGGAGGUCGGCGGCGGAUUCCGGCAGGUUUGGGGCUGCUAGCUGGUCUUUUCCGGCGAGUCCAGUGGCUGGCCCGUUUUUGCUCCCUAGGGUUUGUAUUAUGUGCUGAAGGGUUGAAGAAGAAGGGAGC
Molecule: long non-coding RNA, 2966 nt
Filed under: Nicotiana tabacum (common tobacco)
Lineage: Eukaryota; Viridiplantae; Streptophyta; Magnoliopsida; Solanales; Solanaceae
Description: long non-coding RNA (NTAB_LNC006190)
Source: RNAcentral